Long non-coding RNA from Dioscorea cayenensis subsp. rotundata (Guinea yam), 518 nucleotides. RefSeq lists it as uncharacterized. The transcript is spliced from 2 exons. Lineage: Eukaryota; Viridiplantae; Streptophyta; Magnoliopsida; Dioscoreales; Dioscoreaceae. The record is from RefSeq and is a predicted model, not a curated record.
CUCUUUCAUUCUUUCACCACCUCUUGGUUCAGUAAAGAGGCCAUGCAAAGUGUUGUAUAAGAAGGGAACAUCUGGCACAUUACACUGCAUGUAAAGAGACAAAUGGCGGACACGUGGGCAAUGGUUGUUGCGAGUAUGGACAAGAUAAAGGACAAAGAAGCAGUUGGCGUUUGUAGAUAAGCUCUGCCUAACUCGCUGGAUUUGGUGAUAAGGUUCGUUUCUUUUGUAAAUUGGCAAGAGGGUGCCAGCACUGAGGACAGGUGUUUGCUUGUGGGGGAGCAAGCAAUCCUUUACUGUGAUGACAAUAAUUGUUGAAGCUAAUUUAUUUGGUUUUAUUCAAAACCAGGUUGAAAUUUUAAAUGUAUAAUAAUAUCAUGGAAAUUGUCAGUAUCCAACAGAACGUGUUUGAGUUGAAACAGAUUUGUUUUUUAUAAUGCUUUGUUGAGUGUGUAUUGGCUAAUGCCAAGUAGAUGUGUAAUUGAGUACUGACAAGAUUCUUAAUGUUUUCUUUUCUUUCA